This is a small nuclear RNA of Oryzias javanicus (javanese ricefish), 72 nucleotides long. Lineage: Eukaryota; Metazoa; Chordata; Actinopteri; Beloniformes; Adrianichthyidae. The record is from Ensembl.
GCACUAGUUCUCUAGUGCAUAUACUAAAAUUGGAACGAUACAGAGAAGAUUAGCAUGGCCCCUGGCGCAAGG